ACGCUAGCGGCAGGCUUAACACAUGCAAGGCGAGGGGGCAGCAAUGUCACCGUCGUACGGGUGCGUAACGCGUAUGCAACCUACCUUCAACUGGGGGAUAGCCCGGGGAAACCCGGAUUAAUACCGCAUAAUACAGGGGGCCCACAUGGGUCUAUUUGUUAAAGAUUUAUUGGUUGAAGAUGGGCAUGCGUUCGAUUAGCUAGUUGGUACGGGUAACGGCCUACCAAGGCAACGAUCGAUAGGGGAGCUGAGAGGUUGAUCCCCCACACGGGCACUGAGAUACGGGCCCGACUCCUACGGGAGGCAGCAGUAGGGAAUAUUGGGCAAUGGAUGCAAGUCUGACCCAGCCAUGCCGCGUGCCGGAUGAAGGCCCUCAGGGUUGUAAACGGCUUUUAUUCGGGAAGAAGAGCAGGGAUGCGUCCCUGUGUGACGGUACUGAAUGAAUAAGCACCGGCUAACUCCGUGCCAGCAGCCGCGGUAAUACGGAGGGUGCGAGCGUUGUCCGGAUUUAUUGGGUUUAAAGGGUGCGUAGGUGGCUUUUUAAGUCAGUGGUGAAAUACAGCCGCUCAACGGUUGAGGUGCCAUUGAUACUGAAGAGCUUGAAACAAGUGGAGGCUGCCGGAAUGGAUGGUGUAGCGGUGAAAUGCAUAGAUAUCAUCCAGAACACCGAUUGCGAAGGCAGGUGGCUACGUUUGAUUUGACACUGAGGCACGAAAGCAUGGGGAGCAAAC
RNAcentral lists this ribosomal RNA (731 nucleotides) under uncultured bacterium. RNAcentral describes it as "bacterial SSU rRNA". It matches the Rfam family "Bacterial small subunit ribosomal RNA", at positions 33 to 773 of the family's 1533-position model. The record is from RNAcentral.